UGUUUUUUACCUGAAUAGAAUUUUGAAAAAGUUUCGAAUAUUAUUUCUAAAAAUAUUUCGCCAAACUACUUUUUUGUAAAAAUUUUGAAAAGUAUUUAUACAUUUUUUUCACCAAAAUAUCCUUUUGAUAAAAAUUGUGAAAAAUAUUAAAAAAUAAAUCAUAUUUCGAAAAAUUUAAAUUUUUUUUUUAAAUUUUAAAAAUAAUUACAAUUUUUUCCCACCGAAAUACCACAUCGAAAAAGAAAUUGAAAAGAAAAUAAAAAGUUUUCUCCAUAAAACCUUUGAAAAAUUUGUGAAAAAUAUUUAAAAUAAAUUAUAUGAUGAAAAAUUUUAAAAAUUAUUAAAAUUUAUCAAAUUAUAAAAAUAAAAAUUACUAAAAUUUUUUUUCUACCAAAAUAUCACUUCAAAAAAGAAAUAAAUAUUUUUCUGCAAAGAAAUUUUGAAAAAAUUUUGAAAAAAUUUUAACAAAAUAUUAAAAAUAAUUCAUAUAUCAAAAAUUUUCAAAAUUGUUAAAAAUUUAUAAAAUUAUUAAAAAUUUUUUUCCACUUCAAAAAGAAAUAAAUAUUUUUCUGCAAAGAAAUUUUGAAAAAAUUUUGAAAAAAUUAUAACAAAAUAUUAAAAUUAAUUCAUAUAUCAAAAAUUUUCAAUAUUGUUAAAAAUUUAUAAAAUUAUUAAAAAAAGAAUUUUGCACUAAAAUACCACUUCGAAGAAGAAAUUGAAAACCUUAAGUUAAGCGUGUAUGCAAUAUCAUUAAAAUGUAAAUAUUAUGCACGAAAAGUGUCGACUCGUGAUAAAUAUCCCCUUUUUUAACGCGCUGCUCAUAUCUUAAACGAACUACGAGUUACAAACGAUUUUUAUAUAUAGAUAAUGUAAGAAAUUAUCACUUUAUGAUGAAAUGUUAGCGUACUUAUAGGAAAUACUUGUGAUGAAAAUGAUAGUCAUCUGUUGUAAUCUUCUAACCUGACACUGUUAAUUAACAUAGUGGUACUUUUUCUACUUUACUCUUAACCAUAUAUGUAUGUGCAUUGCGCAUUUCUCGUAAUGCAAUGAAAUGUUUUCUCAAUAAAUAGAUGGAGUUGUGUUAUUACAUACAUACAUAGUAGAUCCUCACAUAUAUAUGUACAUAUGUAAUUAAUACGCUGACUAUAUGUGCUUAGUGUAGUUAGUAAGUAUUAUUUGUAAAUAUAUUAAAGUAAAUAAACAACUUUAGGCGAACAUACAUAUACAUAUCCGGACACUGCGACGGUGAAUGUCCGCUUAUCAGGAAUUUCAUUGUAUACAUAUAACUCUUUUUUGCUGUAAGAUCGAUUAAUACUAUUUUUGCGUUAAAACAUUAUAAUCGAUAACAAAUAAUAUCUAUAUAUGUGAUCAGAAACUGUUCAAUGAACACACACACUCAUCGAUACACAUACACUCAUAUACCAACCGAUCAAAUUUGAGUCGGACUGGUUCAUUUAAACUGCACAUUUUUUAUAUUUAAAUCAGAACGACAUGCGAAUCUGUACGUCUAAGAAACAUUAUUACUAUUUUUUUGUAAAAUUCCAUACUUUUACGAUACUUACUAUUAAUAAAGUUAUAUUUAAUUACUGAAAUAACCAAUUUUCUGGUUAGCGGUGUUAGUAAAAGUUAAGAAAGAAGCUUAGUCAUAUUCGAUGUUAUAAGCAUUGUUAUUUUCAUAAUUAAUAAUUGCAAACAAAUAAAUAAUUGCGAAAAAAUAAAUUAAAAAUAAAAAAAAUAUAUUAUUUGAAUUUUAA
Molecule: long non-coding RNA, 1754 nt
Organism: Bactrocera neohumeralis
Lineage: Eukaryota; Metazoa; Arthropoda; Insecta; Diptera; Tephritidae
Exons: 2
Source: RefSeq, a predicted model, not a curated record